Molecule: ribosomal RNA, 451 nt
Filed under: uncultured bacterium
Lineage: Bacteria
Description: partial 16S ribosomal RNA
Rfam family: Bacterial small subunit ribosomal RNA
Source: RNAcentral
AGCGAACGCUGGCGGCAGGCUUAACACAUGCAAGUCGAGCGGGCAUAGCAAUAUGUCAGCGGCAGACGGGUGAGUAACGCGUGGGAACGUACCUUUUGGUUCGGAACAACACAGGGAAACUUGUGCUAAUACCGGAUAAGCCCUUACGGGGAAAGAUUUAUCGCCGAAAGAUCGGCCCGCGUCUGAUUAGCUAGUUGGUGAGGUAAUGGCUCACCAAGGCGACGAUCAGUAGCUGGUCUGAGAGGAUGAUCAGCCACAUUGGGACUGAGACACGGCCCAAACUCCUACGGGAGGCAGCAGUGGGGAAUAUUGGACAAUGGGCGCAAGCCUGAUCCAGCCAUGCCGCGUGAGUGAUGAAGGCCCUAGGGUUGUAAAGCUCUUUCACCGGAGAAGAUAAUGACGGUAUCCGGAGAAGAAGCCCCGGCUAACUUCGUGCCAGCAGCCGCGGUAA